UAGAGUUUGAUCCUGGCUCAGGACGAACGCUGGCGGCGUGCCUAAUACAUGCAAGUCGUGCGGACUUAUCUUCGGAUAAGUUAGCGGCGGACGGGUGAGUAACACGUGGGCAACCUGCCUGUAAGACUGGGAUAACUCCGGGAAACCGGUGCUAAUACCAGAUACAAUCAGAGACCGCCUGGUCUUUGAUGGAAAGGUCUUGUACCGCUUACAGAUGGGCCCGCGGCGCAUUAGCUAGUUGGUGGGGUAACGGCCUACCAAGGCGACGAUGCGUAGCCGACCUGAGAGGGUGAUCGGCCACACUGGGACUGAGACACGGCCCAGACUCCUACGGGAGGCAGCAGUAGGGAAUCUUCCGCAAUGGACGAAAGUCUGACGGAGCAACGCCGCGUGAGUGAUGAAGGCUUUCGGGUCGUAAAACUCUGUUGUCAGGGAAGAACAUCCGGGAUGACCUCCCGGUCUGACGGUACCUGAUCAGAAAGCCCCGGCUAACUACGUGCCAGCAGCCGCGGUAAUA
RNAcentral lists this ribosomal RNA (517 nucleotides) under uncultured bacterium. RNAcentral describes it as "bacterial SSU rRNA". It matches the Rfam family "Bacterial small subunit ribosomal RNA", at positions 1 to 525 of the family's 1533-position model. The record is from RNAcentral.